Engraulis encrasicolus (European anchovy) is the source of this 2057-nucleotide long non-coding RNA. RefSeq lists it as uncharacterized. The transcript is spliced from 2 exons. The record is from RefSeq and is a predicted model, not a curated record. NCBI's taxonomy places the organism in Eukaryota, Metazoa, Chordata, Actinopteri, Clupeiformes, Engraulidae.
AGCAAGCCUAAGGUUGCCGUGUACAACCAGCCAGCACCAACCGACGAUGAUGACGAGGAGGGGGAGUUCAGACAGAAAUCAUCCUUUGUGGUGUAGUCUCAUCUAGCACUGAUGACCUGCAUUGUCUCCUGGCCAGUGCAUAGUGGACACUCUGGACAAAAGAGCUAAAGAGUUUGUAAAGAUGUAUGACGUAUUGACUGUAAUUUUAAAGUGUAUAUGUUCCUGCUUUUGUCUUUCAAAUUAAUUUGUUAAGACAUUUUUUUACAGUGUAUCGUGCAACUGGUUAUUUACGUGCUUAUAUGAUCGUUUUUAUACCAACAUUACCUAAAACAGAUAUGCAUAUAGCUGCAUAUUGGCACAUCAUGUAAUAAACACAUACUGUGUAGGCACACAAUCACAUCUCAGUAGCUGAUCAGUCAGUAGCUGAUUUAUGUACAGAUGGCAUAGAGGGAAGAUAUUUUGCACUUUUGUCUUUUUUUCCAUCAGGAUGUUUGUGUGAUUGGUCAAACACACAAACUUCCUACUAGCAGAUUCUUCAUAUACAAAAAUGUCACUUGAUAGUUGAUUGGUGGGUGUAAAAAAAGGAAAAUUGCCAUGACCCAAUACCGUAUGUGCACAUUUUCAUGUAUAUUGCAAAUGAUCAAAAACAUUGGUGGAUUAGUGUUUGCUUUCGUGUGUGGUGAAGUGAAUGAAGGGACAUGAAGGCUGUUAAUGGCGACAGCCUUUCAUUUUAAAGACUGUAAACUAUUUGGUUGCCGUGUGCAUCUCAAAUGGCAGUGGACUGGACAGCCGAAGGUGUGUGUGAGUGUGCGUGUGUGUGUGUCAGUGUGGUAAUCGGCAUUCUGUGUGUUUCCUACCGGAAUGCUGUGUGUGUGCCGUGGAUGUGUCACCACUGCUGUGUGAUUAACCAUGAUGUCAUGGUGCUGUGGUUGGGCCUGCACUGUAGAUGUUCAUUGGACGAUUAAACCUUAACCGCAAUCCCAUUGGUGGUGUGAUGUGCAGCACACAAAGCCUAGUGAUGCAAACAGACAAGUGCAUGACUACAUGUAUACAUGUCUGUGGAUGCAGAUCUCUGCUUUGAGACUUACAUACGUUUGGUCUGUUUACUGUAUUUUGUCUAGUUUUUCUCUUGUUUUUUGGAACAUAACAAACAUAUGGCCCUAAUAAAGCACUGGGGUCAUUUUGGGUUGUACAUUCCCUUUUUUAUUCCCUCCUAAUUCCCUUUCCUCAAGUGGCAUUAACUCACACAUUUAGCAGUGCCUGUAUUGGUGCGGUGACAUGGCAGUAAACAGCCAUGUUGUCUUUUCAAAUGACUGUGACCUGUAUCCAUAGCUAAGUCAUGUAGUUGGUAACACUAUAUAAUAAUGGGUGCAUAACAAGCAUUAUAAAUACUUAAUUAACUAAUGAUGAACAAAACAUUAAAGGUUUAUUAUUCAUUAAGUUUUAUAAUAAAAUGUAUAAAAUAUCUACAAAUUGUAUGUUCAAGAUUUUACUAACCUUUUAAAGUUUUUUUUAUUCAUUUACUAAAUGAAUACAUGUUUGAUAAUUAUAAAAUACCUGUAUAACAUUUCCCACUCAUUUACAAAAAUGCGUUAAUGUUUUGUUCAUCAUUCGUUUAUCUUUUACUAAGUCUGACCGCAUUGAAAGGAAGGAACUGCAAAAUGUAGGCUGUCAUAUUCUUCUGUCUGAUUUGGAUGUACAGAUAUUUUGCAGUGGUAUUCUUAAAUUAUAAAUUAUUGAAGAUGAAUGUUUGUGGAUAAGCAAUAUUCAAAGAAGAGUUUUAAGUAUGUAAUUUGUUUUCUAUAAAAGUAAAAUAUGAAGGCCCUGAGCAUUUCUGUUUUUGUGAGCAUUUUAUUGAGUAGCUAGACAGUGAAUAGUUGUAAACAUUUUAACACUGUGUGUGCCAUCCUUUGAGUGUUGUCUGAAGAAAAUUUCAAUUUCAAUCCACUAUGAGGAAUGACUCCUCCUUUGCUGAUAACCGCUCGUACUAUUCACUACUCGUUCAGUUUGUAUUACCCUUGUGUCAUCUUUUGUUAAAUAAAAGUAUGCUUGUCUUA